RNAcentral lists this long non-coding RNA (243 nucleotides) under Bos taurus (domestic cattle). RNAcentral's name for it is "long non-coding RNA NONBTAT006836". The record is from RNAcentral. Lineage: Eukaryota; Metazoa; Chordata; Mammalia; Artiodactyla; Bovidae.
UUCUUUCUCAGUUAAAAUGUGCUGCCUGUGGUUCGCUUUUUAAAGUAGUUACAGAUCCCAUUUCUCUAUAUAACCCUGUGAGCAUGUGGUCAUAAUUGUCAAGUUUAAACGGGCUUAGUGAGUAUAGAAUAAGGGAGAAGAGUUUUUAUCUUUCUAACUUGGUCUCUUCAUCUGUCUCUGCUGAUAUCAAAAUGCAGCCAAGAAGCAGAAGAUGUUAAAGAUACUGAGUGGUAGACUCAUAAA